This 29-nucleotide small RNA is filed under the name Bombyx mori (domestic silkworm). RNAcentral describes it as "piRNA piR-bmo-1694450". The record is from RNAcentral. Lineage: Eukaryota; Metazoa; Arthropoda; Insecta; Lepidoptera; Bombycidae.
UCAUAAUAGUCGUCGAGGGGUUCUCCCGC